Non-coding RNA from Nicotiana tabacum (common tobacco), 373 nucleotides. The record is from RefSeq and is a predicted model, not a curated record. Lineage: Eukaryota; Viridiplantae; Streptophyta; Magnoliopsida; Solanales; Solanaceae.
UUUACGAGGUAAGCUACCAGAACUACUUCUUCUCCUUCCUCUUUAUUCACAAACCAACCAAUAAGCCUAAACUAACCAAAACUUUCUUCUCUUUCUUCGUGCAAAAACGUAGCAGAAACAACCAACAGAAAUGAAAAGGAAAGAUCGAUAAAUAUGGUUUAGUAAAAAGCUCUCUUUCUUUUUCUCAAGAAACUGCAAAAAGUUCAAAAACCAAGAUAUUCUAUCAAUCCUUACUUGUAACUUCAUUGCAAUUUGCAGCCAUGAAAACAGAGCGAAAAAUACCAAAGUCUUCGUGGACUAAAGUGGUUGUUAGGAAAUGGUUGAAUAUGAAAAACAAAUCGGAGGAAUUUUAUUCAGAUCAUAUAGUAGACGG